CUAAAAGCGCAAUUUACCCCUCCGCUCGAAAACACGCGGAUCCUAUCUAGGUCGGGUUGGUUUCGGGUCAGUCCAUGUUUAAACGAUUCCGUUUUUAUCAUUUCGAACCAUUUCCAAAACGAUACCGUUUAGUACCCCUAUUUAAACUAAAAUUUUCUAAAAAUUUCAUUUGCAGCAAAGGAAAAAUAAAAAAUAAAUAAAAAAAAACUUUAUUCCUCU
This 219-nucleotide long non-coding RNA is filed under the name Gossypium raimondii (Peruvian cotton). RNAcentral's name for it is "long non-coding RNA (GRAI_LNC010772)". The record is from RNAcentral. Lineage: Eukaryota; Viridiplantae; Streptophyta; Magnoliopsida; Malvales; Malvaceae.